UACGUAGGGGGCAAGCGUUGUCCGGAAUCAUUGGGCGUAAAGAGCGUGUAGGCGGUUCGGUAAGUCCGCUGUGAAAGUCCAGGGCUCAACCCUGGGAUGUCGGUCGAUACUGCCGGACUAGAGUUCGGAAGAGGCGAGUGGAAUUCCCGGUGUAGCGGUGAAAUGCGCAGAUAUCGGGAGGAACACCUAUGGCGAAGGCAGCUCGCUGGGACGUUACUGACGCUGAGACGCGAAAGCGUGGGGAGCAAACAGG
RNAcentral lists this ribosomal RNA (253 nucleotides) under uncultured bacterium. RNAcentral describes it as "partial 16S ribosomal RNA". It matches the Rfam family "Bacterial small subunit ribosomal RNA", at positions 524 to 776 of the family's 1533-position model. The record is from RNAcentral.